GAAGUUUAGCUCAGUUGGGAGAGCAUCUGCCUUACAAGCAGGGGGUCAUAGGUUCAAGUCCUAUAACUUCC
RNAcentral lists this transfer RNA (71 nucleotides) under human gut metagenome. It matches the Rfam family "tRNA". From Rfam's summary of the family: Transfer RNA (tRNA) molecules are approximately 80 nucleotides in length. RNAcentral also lists the same sequence under 1 other name. The record is from RNAcentral.